UGGCGAACGGGUGAGUAACACGUGGGCAAUCUGCCCUGCACUCUGGGACAAGCCCUGGAAACGGGGUCUAAUACCGGAUACGACCUUCCUCCGCAUGGGGGUUGGUGGAAAGCUCCGGCGGUGCAGGAUGAGCCCGCGGCCUAUCAGCUUGUUGGUGGGGUAAUGGCCUACCAAGGCGACGACGGGUAGCCGGCCUGAGAGGGCGACCGGCCACACUGGGACUGAGACACGGCCCAGACUCCUACGGGAGGCAGCAGUGGGGAAUAUUGCACAAUGGGCGAAAGCCUGAUGCAGCGACGCCGCGUGAGGGAUGACGGCCUUCGGGUUGUAAACCUCUUUCAGCAGGGAAGAAGCGCAAGUGACGGUACCUGCAGAAGAAGCACCGGCUAACUACGUGCCAGCAGCCGCGGUAAUACGUAGGGUGCGAGCGUUGUCCGGAAUUAUUGGGCGUAAAGAGCUCGUAGGCGGCCUGUCGCGUCGGAUGUGAAAGCCCGGGGCUUAACCCCGGGUCUGCAUUCGAUACGGGCAGGCUAGAGUGUGGUAGGGGAGAUCGGAAUUCCUGGUGUAGCGGUGAAAUGCGCAGAUAUCAGGAGGAACACCGGUGGCGAAGGCGGAUCUCUGGGCCAUUACUGACGCUGAGGAGCGAAAGCGUGGGGAGCGAACAGGAUUAGAUACCCUGGUAGUCCACGCCGUAAACGUUGGGAACUAGGUGUUGGCCACAUUCCACGUGGUCGGUGCCGCAGCUAACGCAUUAAGUUCCCCGCCUGGGGAGUACGGCCGCAAGGCUAAAACUCAAAGGAAUUGACGGGGGCCCGCACAAGCAGCGGAGCAUGUGGCUUAAUUCGACGCAACGCGAAGAACCUUACCAAGGCUUGACAUAUGCCGGAAACAUCCAGAGAUGGGUGCCCCCUUGUGGUCGGUAUACAGGUGGUGCAUGGUUGUCGUCAGCUCGUGUCGUGAGAUGUUGGGUUAAGUCCCGCAACGAGCGCAACCCUUGUUCUGUGUUGCCAGCAUGCCUUUCGGGGUGAUGGGGACUCACAGGAGACUGCCGGGGUCAACUCGGAGGAAGGUGGGGACGACGUCAAAUCAUCAUGCCCCUUAUGUCUUGGGCUGCACACGUGCUACAAUGGUCGGUACAAAGGGCUGCGAUGCCGUGAGGCGGAGCGAAUCCCAAAAAGCCGGCCUCAGUUCGGAUUGGGGUCUGCAACUCGACCCCAUGAAGUUGGAGUUGCUAGUAAUCGCA
RNAcentral lists this ribosomal RNA (1243 nucleotides) under Streptomyces lactacystinicus. RNAcentral describes it as "bacterial SSU rRNA". It matches the Rfam family "Bacterial small subunit ribosomal RNA", at positions 96 to 1346 of the family's 1533-position model. Lineage: Bacteria; Bacillati; Actinomycetota; Actinomycetes; Kitasatosporales; Streptomycetaceae. The record is from RNAcentral.